This is a non-coding RNA of Mesocricetus auratus (golden hamster), 45 nucleotides long. The record is from Rfam. Lineage: Eukaryota; Metazoa; Chordata; Mammalia; Rodentia; Cricetidae.
CAAAAGGCUCUUUUCAGAGCCACCACUUCCACUUAAAAGAGCUGU